Molecule: long non-coding RNA, 1216 nt
Organism: Lepus europaeus (European hare)
Lineage: Eukaryota; Metazoa; Chordata; Mammalia; Lagomorpha; Leporidae
Exons: 3
Source: RefSeq, a predicted model, not a curated record
GCUGCGGGGGGUGGGGGGGGUUCCUCGCGGACCCGAGGUCCCUCGUGUUCGUCCCUCCCGGUGGCGCUAGGGGACAAGACCUCGAGUAAUGAGGGAGGGGUACGAGCUGGAGGGUCGUACCCCAAAAAGAGUAAUGGCGGAGCGCGGCCCCAGGGCCUCGGGGCCCCUGUGAAGAGGCGGCUGCUUGGAAGCGGAAGGCUGGGUGCUGAGAGGGCGCCGGCCCCGGAGGACCCCCCAGGACAGCACCAUGCACCAAGGAAAGACCCUGGGAGCACACAGCAAGAAGGCAGCUACCUGUAAACCAAGAAGUGGGCCCUCCCCAGACGCCAACUGACCUUGCAGUUCCAGCCUCCACAACCGUGAGAAAUUUCUGCUGUCUAAGCCUCCCAGCCUGUGGUGCUGUCAUAGCCACCCAAGCAGCCCGAGGCAGACCCGUCACAUCAAUAAGAAACACAGCCCUGAGAUUUGGGUGGUGUUUGUUACUGCCCAUAACCUACAGCAUCCUGCCUGGUGCAGAUGCCAAAGCUGCUGCCUGAACCAGGAGGCAGCACUGCGUCUUCCACUAAAUACAAAGCAGGCCCUUUCCAGUACACUGUGGUUGAAAUGAAAGAAACCGAAACACGCAAAAGUAAGAAGAACACGAAGGAACAGCAAACACCACACCACACACAUGGGCCCUCCUGCGUCUCCACAAGCAGACGUGGACCUGGGAGACAGCAGAGGUGGCUCCUCUUUUGAGUUCCUGCCAUCCCGGGCCACAGCAGAGAGCUGGACUGGAAGAGGAGCAACCAGGACAGAAUCCGGCGCCCCAACCGGGACUAGAACCCGGAGUACCGGCACCGCAGGCGGAGGAUUAGCCUAGUGAGCCGCAGCGCCAGUCCAAGCAGCGUCUUAACUGCUGUGUCAAACCCUGGUCCCGUGAUUGUGUAUAUCUUAAAACAAAACCUAAGUUACACUAGAAAUCGAACAUUAAUACUGUGCAUUUCUGAACAUUAACACUAUGCAAAUUGUGUUUGCAAAUCAUGGAAAAUAUCUUGGGGGAGACACAUGGAAGCAAUAACACUGAUGCCUGACCCUGGAACAAGGAGAACUGGGGUUCUAGGAAGAGCCAGGGUCGGGGGAGGGUAGAGCACCAGGAACACAGCUGUUCCCCUGCAUCAUGGUGACUGUAUAGAGUGAGACUGUGCUUGUGUACCUAAGAGACACUCCAGAAGAU